GUGGGGAAUUUUGGACAAUGGGCGCAAGCCUGAUCCAGCAAUGCCGCGUGCAGGAAGAAGGCCUUCGGGUUGUAAACUGCUUUUGUACGGAACGAAACGGUCCGGGUUAAUACCCUGGGCUAAUGACGGUACCGUAAGAAUAAGCACCGGCUAACUACGUGCCAGCAGCCGCGGUAAUACGUAGGGUGCAAGCGUUAAUCGGAAUUACUGGGCGUAAAGCGUGCGCAGGCGGUUUUGUAAGACAGGCGUGAAAUCCCCGGGCUCAACCUGGGAAUUGCGCUUGUGACUGCAAGGCUGGAGUGCGGCAGAGGGGGAUGGAAUUCCGCGUGUAGCAGUGAAAUGCGUAGAUAUGCGGAGUAACACCGAUGGCGAAGGCAAUCCCCUGGGCCUGCACUGACGCUCAUGCACGAAAGCGUGGGGAGCAAACAGGAUUAGAUACCCCGGUAGUCC
This 450-nucleotide ribosomal RNA is filed under the name uncultured bacterium. RNAcentral describes it as "partial 16S ribosomal RNA". It matches the Rfam family "Bacterial small subunit ribosomal RNA", at positions 354 to 796 of the family's 1533-position model. The record is from RNAcentral.